GUGAGGAAUAUUGGUCAAUGGGCGCAAGCCUGAACCAGCCAUGCCGCGUGAAGGAAUAAGGCCCUAUGGGUUGUAAACUUCUUUUGUAAGGGGCGAACCCCGGGUACGUGUACCCGGCUGACGGUACCUUACGAAUAAGCAACGGCUAACUCCGUGCCAGCAGCCGCGGUAAUACGGAGGUUGCAAGCGUUAUCCGGAUUUAUUGGGUUUAAAGGGUGCGUAGGCGGGAAAAUAAGUCAGUGGUGAAAGUCUGUCGCUUAACGAUAGGAUUGCCAUUGAUACUGUUUUUCUUGAGUAUAGUUGAGGUAGGCGGAAUGUGUAGUGUAGCGGUGAAAUGCUUAGAUAUUACACAGAACACCGAUUGCGUAGGCAGCUUACUAAAGUAUAACUGACGCUGAGGCACGAAAGCGUGGGGAUCAAACAGGAUUAGAUACCCUAGUAGUCC
RNAcentral lists this ribosomal RNA (445 nucleotides) under uncultured bacterium. RNAcentral describes it as "bacterial SSU rRNA". It matches the Rfam family "Bacterial small subunit ribosomal RNA", at positions 354 to 796 of the family's 1533-position model. The record is from RNAcentral.